UCCUGGGAAGGCCUCGUGUUGCAACCC
Molecule: ribosomal RNA, 27 nt
Filed under: Cliffortia carinata
Lineage: Eukaryota; Viridiplantae; Streptophyta; Magnoliopsida; Rosales; Rosaceae
Also listed under: 1 other name
Source: RNAcentral